This 2793-nucleotide ribosomal RNA is filed under the name Escherichia coli. Its description in RNAcentral is "partial 23S ribosomal RNA". It matches the Rfam family "Bacterial large subunit ribosomal RNA". The record is from RNAcentral. Lineage: Bacteria; Pseudomonadati; Pseudomonadota; Gammaproteobacteria; Enterobacterales; Enterobacteriaceae.
GGUUAAGCGACUAAGCGUACACGGUGGAUGCCCUGGCAGUCAGAGGCGAUGAAGGACGUGCUAAUCUGCGAUAAGCGUCGGUAAGGUGAUAUGAACCGUUAUAACCGGCGAUUUCCGAAUGGGGAAACCCAGUGUGAUUCGUCACACUAUCAUUAACUGAAUCCAUAGGUUAAUGAGGCGAACCGGGGGAACUGAAACAUCUAAGUACCCCGAGGAAAAGAAAUCAACCGAGAUUCCCCCAGUAGCGGCGAGCGAACGGGGAGCAGCCCAGAGCCUGAAUCAGUGUGUGUGUUAGUGGAAGCGUCUGGAAAGGCGCGCGAUACAGGGUGACAGCCCCGUACACAAAAAUGCACAUGCUGUGAGCUCGAUGAGUAGGGCGGGACACGUGGUAUCCUGUCUGAAUAUGGGGGGACCAUCCUCCAAGGCUAAAUACUCCUGACUGACCGAUAGUGAACCAGUACCGUGAGGGAAAGGCGAAAAGAACCCCGGCGAGGGGAGUGAAAAAGAACCUGAAACCGUGUACGUACAAGCAGUGGGAGCACGCUUAGGCGUGUGACUGCGUACCUUUUGUAUAAUGGGUCAGCGACUUAUAUUCUGUAGCAAGGUUAACCGAAUAGGGGAGCCGAAGGGAAACCGAGUCUUAACUGGGCGUUAAGUUGCAGGGUAUAGACCCGAAACCCGGUGAUCUAGCCAUGGGCAGGUUGAAGGUUGGGUAACACUAACUGGAGGACCGAACCGACUAAUGUUGAAAAAUUAGCGGAUGACUUGUGGCUGGGGGUGAAAGGCCAAUCAAACCGGGAGAUAGCUGGUUCUCCCCGAAAGCUAUUUAGGUAGCGCCUCGUGAAUUCAUCUCCGGGGGUAGAGCACUGUUUCGGCAAGGGGGUCAUCCCGACUUACCAACCCGAUGCAAACUGCGAAUACCGGAGAAUGUUAUCACGGGAGACACACGGCGGGUGCUAACGUCCGUCGUGAAGAGGGAAACAACCCAGACCGCCAGCUAAGGUCCCAAAGUCAUGGUUAAGUGGGAAACGAUGUGGGAAGGCCCAGACAGCCAGGAUGUUGGCUUAGAAGCAGCCAUCAUUUAAAGAAAGCGUAAUAGCUCACUGGUCGAGUCGGCCUGCGCGGAAGAUGUAACGGGGCUAAACCAUGCACCGAAGCUGCGGCAGCGACGCUUAUGCGUUGUUGGGUAGGGGAGCGUUCUGUAAGCCUGUGAAGGUGUGCUGUGAGGCAUGCUGGAGGUAUCAGAAGUGCGAAUGCUGACAUAAGUAACGAUAAAGCGGGUGAAAAGCCCGCUCGCCGGAAGACCAAGGGUUCCUGUCCAACGUUAAUCGGGGCAGGGUGAGUCGACCCCUAAGGCGAGGCCGAAAGGCGUAGUCGAUGGGAAACAGGUUAAUAUUCCUGUACUUGGUGUUACUGCGAAGGGGGGACGGAGAAUGCUAUGUUGGCCGGGCGACGGUUGUCCCGGUUUAAGCGUGUAGGCUGGUUUUCCAGGCAAAUCCGGAAAAUCAAGGCUGAGGCGUGAUGACGAGGCACUACGGUGCUGAAGCAACAAAUGCCCUGCUUCCAGGAAAAGCCUCUAAGCAUCAGGUAACAUCAAAUCGUACCCCAAACCGACACAGGUGGUCAGGUAGAGAAUACCAAGGCGCUUGAGAGAACUCGGGUGAAGGAACUAGGCAAAAUGGUGCCGUAACUUCGGGAGAAGGCACGCUGAUAUGUAGGUGAAGUCCCUCGCGGAUGGAGCUGAAAUCAGUCGAAGAUACCAGCUGGCUGCAACUGUUUAUUAAAAACACAGCACUGUGCAAACACGAAAGUGGACGUAUACGGUGUGACGCCUGCCCGGUGCCGGAAGGUUAAUUGAUGGGGUCAGCGCAAGCGAAGCUCUUGAUCGAAGCCCCGGUAAACGGCGGCCGUAACUAUAACGGUCCUAAGGUAGCGAAAUUCCUUGUCGGGUAAGUUCCGACCUGCACGAAUGGCGUAAUGAUGGCCAGGCUGUCUCCACCCGAGACUCAGUGAAAUUGAACUCGCUGUGAAGAUGCAGUGUACCCGCGGCAAGACGGAAAGACCCCGUGAACCUUUACUAUAGCUUGACACUGAACAUUGAGCCUUGAUGUGUAGGAUAGGUGGGAGGCUUAGAAGUGUGGACGCCAGUCUGCAUGGAGCCGACCUUGAAAUACCACCCUUUAAUGUUUGAUGUUCUAACGUUGACCCGUAAUCCGGGUUGCGGACAGUGUCUGGUGGGUAGUUUGACUGGGGCGGUCUCCUCCUAAAGAGUAACGGAGGAGCACGAAGGUUGGCUAAUCCUGGUCGGACAUCAGGAGGUUAGUGCAAUGGCAUAAGCCAGCUUGACUGCGAGCGUGACGGCGCGAGCAGGUGCGAAAGCAGGUCAUAGUGAUCCGGUGGUUCUGAAUGGAAGGGCCAUCGCUCAACGGAUAAAAGGUACUCCGGGGAUAACAGGCUGAUACCGCCCAAGAGUUCAUAUCGACGGCGGUGUUUGGCACCUCGAUGUCGGCUCAUCACAUCCUGGGGCUGAAGUAGGUCCCAAGGGUAUGGCUGUUCGCCAUUUAAAGUGGUACGCGAGCUGGGUUUAGAACGUCGUGAGACAGUUCGGUCCCUAUCUGCCGUGGGCGCUGGAGAACUGAGGGGGGCUGCUCCUAGUACGAGAGGACCGGAGUGGACGCAUCACUGGUGUUCGGGUUGUCAUGCCAAUGGCACUGCCCGGUAGCUAAAUGCGGAAGAGAUAAGUGCUGAAAGCAUCUAAGCACGAAACUUGCCCCGAGAUGAGUUCUCCCUGAC